Molecule: ribosomal RNA, 253 nt
Filed under: uncultured bacterium
Lineage: Bacteria
Description: partial 16S ribosomal RNA
Rfam family: Bacterial small subunit ribosomal RNA
Source: RNAcentral
UACGAAGGGGGCUAGCGUUGUUCGGAAUCACUGGGCGUAAAGCGCUCGUAGGCGGAUCUUUAAGUCAGAGGUGAAAUCCCAAGGCUCAACCUUGGAACUGCCUUUGAUACUGGGGAUCUCGAGUCCGGGAGAGGUGAGUGGAACUGCGAGUGUAGAGGUGAAAUUCGUAGAUAUUCGCAAGAACACCAGUGGCGAAGGCGGCUCACUGGCCCGAUACUGACGCUGAGGCACGAAAGCGUGGGGAGCAAACAGG